UACGAAGGGGGCUAGCGUUGUUCGGAAUCACUGGGCGUAAAGCGCACGCAGGCGGAUUGAUAAGUCAGGGGUGAAAUCCCGGAGCUCAACUUCGGAAUUGCCUUUGAUACUGUCUGUCUUGAGUCCGGGAGAGGUGAGUGGAAUUCCCGGUGUAGUGGUGAAAUGCGUAGAUAUCGGGAGGAGCACCAGUGGCGAAGGCGACUACCUGGCCCAUUCUUGACGCUGAGGCGCGAAAGCUAGGGGAGCGAACGGG
RNAcentral lists this ribosomal RNA (253 nucleotides) under uncultured bacterium. RNAcentral describes it as "partial 16S ribosomal RNA". It matches the Rfam family "Bacterial small subunit ribosomal RNA", at positions 524 to 776 of the family's 1533-position model. The record is from RNAcentral.